AACGAACGCUGGCGGCAUGCCUAACACAUGCAAGUCGAACGAGACCUUCGGGUCUAGUGGCGCACGGGUGCGUAACGCGUGGGAACCUGCCCUUAGGUUCGGAAUAACUCCCCGAAAGGGGUGCUAAUACCGGAUAAUGUCUUCGGACCAAAGAUUUAUCGCCUUUGGAUGGGCCCGCGUUGGAUUAGCUAGUUGGUAUGGUAAAAGCCUACCAAGGCGACGAUCCAUAGCUGGUCUGAGAGGAUGAUCAGCCACUCUUGGACUGAGACACGGCCCAGACUCCUACGGGAUGCAGCAGUGGGUAAUGUUGCACCAUGGGCUAAAGCCUGAUCCAGCAAUGCCGCGUGAGUGAUGAAGGCCUUAGGGUUGUAAAGCGCUUUUACCCGGGAUGAUAAUGACAGUACCUGGAGAAUAAGCUCCGGCUAACUCCGUG
Molecule: ribosomal RNA, 433 nt
Filed under: uncultured bacterium
Lineage: Bacteria
Description: partial 16S ribosomal RNA
Rfam family: Bacterial small subunit ribosomal RNA
Source: RNAcentral